GACGAACGCUGGCGGCGUGCUUAACACAUGCAAGUCGAACGGUAAGGCCCUUCGGGGUACACGAGUGGCGAACGGGUGAGUAACACGUGGGUGAUCUGCCCUGCACUUCGGGAUAAGCCUGGGAAACUGGGUCUAAUACCGGAUAGGACUCCGGACUGCAUGGUCUGGGGUGGAAAGCUUUUGCGGUGUGGGAUGAGCCCGCGGCCUAUCAGCUUGUUGGUGGGGUGAUGGCCUACCAAGGCGACGACGGGUAGCCGGCCUGAGAGGGUGACCGGCCACACUGGGACUGGGAUACGGCACAGACUCCUCCGGGAGGCAGCAGUGGGGAAUAUUGCACAAUGGGCGCAAGCCGGAUGCAGCGACGCCGCGUGAGGGAUGACGGCCUUCGGGUUGUAAACCUCUUUCGGCAUCGACGAAGGGAAAGUGACGGUAGGUGCAGAAGAAGGACCGGCCAACUACGUGCCAGCCGCCGCCGUAA
This 478-nucleotide ribosomal RNA is filed under the name uncultured bacterium. RNAcentral's name for it is "partial 16S ribosomal RNA". It matches the Rfam family "Bacterial small subunit ribosomal RNA", at positions 28 to 523 of the family's 1533-position model. The record is from RNAcentral.